Molecule: ribosomal RNA, 253 nt
Filed under: uncultured bacterium
Lineage: Bacteria
Description: partial 16S ribosomal RNA
Rfam family: Bacterial small subunit ribosomal RNA
Source: RNAcentral
UACGAAGGGGGCAAGCGUUGUUCGGAAUUACUGGGCGUAGAGGGCGCGUAGGCGGCUUAUCAAGUCAGGCGUGAAAUUCCCGGGCUCAACCUGGGGGCUGCGCUUGAUACUGAUUGGCUUGAAUGCGGGAGAGGAUAGUGGAAUUCCCAGUGUAGAGGUGAAAUUCGUAGAUAUUCGCAAGAACACCAGUGGCGAAGGCGGCUCACUGGCCCGAUACUGACGCUGAGGCACGAAAGCGUGGGGAGCAAACAGG